GAAAGAAUUCUGGCUCCGAGGGCCGGUGUACAGUGCUUUAAAUAUGGCAGUGGUUAUGUGUGAAAUUAUCGUGUUUUUCUGUUUAACCUGUUUCUUGUCUCUUCAUCGCCUUUCUAUAUAAUGUAAGACCAGAGGCUUUAUGUAGUGAAUUCCCUGUAACCCCGGCUGCUUGGACAGAUAGGUGACUCUGAAGCAGAACUCUUGAGAUGGAAGGAUUGUCAUCUGAGGAAAAAAAAUCAAGAUUAAGAGAGGAGGAACUAGAAUGAGAUUCACAUACCGUCUCUCCUCCAAGGGAAGGAGAGAGUGGUGAUGCCUGCCCACUCCUUCCUGGGCAGAACAUUUGUAGCAUGGAACAUUGGAGAAUUUGCAGUCUGCUGACUUUCUGAUUUAGGAGGUUGAUGGGGAGGCCUUAUAAUUUGCAUUUCUAACAAGUUCUGAGGUGAUGCUUCAAGUAUGUCCAGGCAGAAGGGCUGCCUCACAGAGAAUUCUGCCAUACCACAUGGGAAUUGAAGUCACAGACAUCUCUAACCCUCAAGCCUGAAACCAAAAGACUGAAAACCAACACUACAGUGGACAAAGAACAUCUCUGAACUUGUGUGGGGACCAGUGACACAAGGACCUAAGGUCUCUCUCUUCUCAUCUUGGCACUUCAGAAGUCUCCCCAAUCUUGACAAAGCCCUGGAGAAAGGGCCGGGCCUCCCGUUGAUAAGAAUAUCACUGCAGAUAAAUGGAGGUUUCAAAUUGAAAGAAAGGAGGAGGGCCUCCUGUUGAUAAGAUUAUUGUCACUGCAGGUAAAUGGAGGCUUCAAAUAGAAAUACAUUUCAGUUACAGAAAAAAAAAUUAUCUUUGUUACACAUUUGAGUUUGCAGGCCUAAGGUUACUCCCGCUACACUAUCAUCUGUAACCAUAACGCACUCAACAUUUUAAGCUAACUAUAAGGAUUGUUGCUUCACUCAAAGAUCCUGAGGUUUUAUUCACUAACAUUUUUAUUUGGUGACUAUAGUUGACAAGAACAAAGCUGUGGGGAACCAACAAACACUGCAAUGCCUGGCAUUGUCACCUCACUAGAUUGUGAGUUCCUCUGGGACAGGGUCCGUACAUUUUCUUAGAAUCCCUCACUUAGCCAUUAGCCUGCACAGUGCUUGUACUUAGUAAGUGCUCAGUAAAUGUUUGUGGAAUGAAUGCAUGAUGAACAAAAUAUAUACUGAGGACUCUUGGUGUUGAUUCUUGUUGAUAAUGUAAUAGUUAAGAUAUGUUAUAAAUAUGUU
This 1268-nucleotide long non-coding RNA is filed under the name Homo sapiens (human). RNAcentral's name for it is "non-protein coding lnc-TGFBRAP1-1:13". Lineage: Eukaryota; Metazoa; Chordata; Mammalia; Primates; Hominidae. The record is from RNAcentral.